This 152-nucleotide small nuclear RNA is filed under the name Erinaceus europaeus (western European hedgehog). RNAcentral's name for it is "7SK RNA". It matches the Rfam family "7SK RNA", at positions 180 to 331 of the family's 331-position model. From Rfam's summary of the family: 7SK was discovered as an abundant small nuclear RNA in the mid-70s but a possible function has only recently been suggested. Two independent studies have found that 7SK RNA binds the CDK9/cyclin T complex (known as elongation factor P-TEFb). P-TEFb activates transcription by phosphorylating the C-terminal domain of RNA polymerase II. Lineage: Eukaryota; Metazoa; Chordata; Mammalia; Eulipotyphla; Erinaceidae. The record is from Rfam by way of RNAcentral.
UAGGUCAAGGGUAUAUGGGUAGUUGCACUCCCCUGCUAGAACCUCCAAACAAGCUCUCAAGGUCCAUUUGUAUGAGAACGUAGGGUAGUCAAGCUUCCAAGACUCCAGACACAUCCAAAUGUGGCGGUGCAUGUGGUAGUCUGCCUUAAAAA